Molecule: ribosomal RNA, 1540 nt
Filed under: Klebsiella pneumoniae
Lineage: Bacteria; Pseudomonadati; Pseudomonadota; Gammaproteobacteria; Enterobacterales; Enterobacteriaceae
Description: bacterial SSU rRNA
Rfam family: Bacterial small subunit ribosomal RNA
Source: RNAcentral
AAAUUGAAGAGUUUGAUCAUGGCUCAGAUUGAACGCUGGCGGCAGGCCUAACACAUGCAAGUCGAGCGGUAGCACAGAGAGCUUGCUCUCGGGUGACGAGCGGCGGACGGGUGAGUAAUGUCUGGGAAACUGCCUGAUGGAGGGGGAUAACUACUGGAAACGGUAGCUAAUACCGCAUAAUGUCGCAAGACCAAAGUGGGGGACCUUCGGGCCUCAUGCCAUCAGAUGUGCCCAGAUGGGAUUAGCUAGUAGGUGGGGUAAUGGCUCACCUAGGCGACGAUCCCUAGCUGGUCUGAGAGGAUGACCAGCCACACUGGAACUGAGACACGGUCCAGACUCCUACGGGAGGCAGCAGUGGGGAAUAUUGCACAAUGGGCGCAAGCCUGAUGCAGCCAUGCCGCGUGUGUGAAGAAGGCCUUCGGGUUGUAAAGCACUUUCAGCGGGGAGGAAGGCGGUGAGGUUAAUAACCUCAUCGAUUGACGUUACCCGCAGAAGAAGCACCGGCUAACUCCGUGCCAGCAGCCGCGGUAAUACGGAGGGUGCAAGCGUUAAUCGGAAUUACUGGGCGUAAAGCGCACGCAGGCGGUCUGUCAAGUCGGAUGUGAAAUCCCCGGGCUCAACCUGGGAACUGCAUUCGAAACUGGCAGGCUAGAGUCUUGUAGAGGGGGGUAGAAUUCCAGGUGUAGCGGUGAAAUGCGUAGAGAUCUGGAGGAAUACCGGUGGCGAAGGCGGCCCCCUGGACAAAGACUGACGCUCAGGUGCGAAAGCGUGGGGAGCAAACAGGAUUAGAUACCCUGGUAGUCCACGCCGUAAACGAUGUCGAUUUGGAGGUUGUGCCCUUGAGGCGUGGCUUCCGGAGCUAACGCGUUAAAUCGACCGCCUGGGGAGUACGGCCGCAAGGUUAAAACUCAAAUGAAUUGACGGGGGCCCGCACAAGCGGUGGAGCAUGUGGUUUAAUUCGAUGCAACGCGAAGAACCUUACCUGGUCUUGACAUCCACAGAACUUAGCAGAGAUGCUUUGGUGCCUUCGGGAACUGUGAGACAGGUGCUGCAUGGCUGUCGUCAGCUCGUGUUGUGAAAUGUUGGGUUAAGUCCCGCAACGAGCGCAACCCUUAUCCUUUGUUGCCAGCGGUCCGGCCGGGAACUCAAAGGAGACUGCCAGUGAUAAACUGGAGGAAGGUGGGGAUGACGUCAAGUCAUCAUGGCCCUUACGACCAGGGCUACACACGUGCUACAAUGGCAUAUACAAAGAGAAGCGACCUCGCGAGAGCAAGCGGACCUCAUAAAGUAUGUCGUAGUCCGGAUUGGAGUCUGCAACUCGACUCCAUGAAGUCGGAAUCGCUAGUAAUCGUAGAUCAGAAUGCUACGGUGAAUACGUUCCCGGGCCUUGUACACACCGCCCGUCACACCAUGGGAGUGGGUUGCAAAAGAAGUAGGUAGCUUAACCUUCGGGAGGGCGCUUACCACUUUGUGAUUCAUGACUGGGGUGAAGUCGUAACAAGGUAACCGUAGGGGAACCUGCGGUUGGAUCACCUCCUUA